GACGAACGCUGGCGGCGUGCUUAACACAUGCAAGUCGAACGGAAAGGCCCUGCUUGCAGGGUACUCGAGUGGCGAACGGGUGAGUAACACGUGGGUGAUCUGCCCUGCACUUCGGGAUAAGCCUGGGAAACUGGGUCUAAUACCGGAUAGGAGCCAUUUUUAGUGUGAUGGUUGGAAAGUUUUUUCGGUGUAGGAUGAGCUCGCGGCCUAUCAGCUUGUUGGUGGGGUAAUGGCCUACCAAGGCGGCGACGGGUAGCCGGCCUGAGAGGGUGGACGGCCACAUUGGGACUGAGAUACGGCCCGGACUCCUACGGGAGGCAGCAGUGGGGAAUAUUGCACAAUGGGCGCAAGCCUGAUGCAGCGACGCCGCGUGGGGGAUGACGGCCUUCGGGUUGUAAACUCCUUUCGCUAGGGACGAAGCUUUUUGUGACGGUACCUAGAGAAGAAGCACCGGCUAACUACGUG
RNAcentral lists this ribosomal RNA (465 nucleotides) under uncultured bacterium. RNAcentral's name for it is "partial 16S ribosomal RNA". It matches the Rfam family "Bacterial small subunit ribosomal RNA", at positions 28 to 507 of the family's 1533-position model. The record is from RNAcentral.